Callithrix jacchus (white-tufted-ear marmoset) is the source of this 300-nucleotide unclassified non-coding RNA. It matches the Rfam family "Metazoan signal recognition particle RNA". Rfam says of the family: The signal recognition particle (SRP) is a universally conserved ribonucleoprotein. It is involved in the co-translational targeting of proteins to membranes. Lineage: Eukaryota; Metazoa; Chordata; Mammalia; Primates; Cebidae. The record is from Ensembl.
GCUGGGCGCGGUGGCACAUGCUUGUCGUCCCAGCUACUCAGGAGGCUGAGGUGGGAGGAUCGCUUGAGCCCAGGAGUUCUCGGCUGUAGUAUACUAUGCUGAUCGGGUGUCCGCACUGAGUUCAGCAUCAAUAUGGUGACCUCCCAGGAGCAGGGGACCACCAGGUUACCUAAGGAGGGGUGAACCAGCCCAGGUUGAAAACGGAGCAGGUCAAAACUCCCUUGCUGAUCAGUAGUGGGAUGGCGCCUGUGAAUAGCCACUGCAUUCCAGCCUGGGCAACAGAGUGAGACCCCAUCUCUU